This 506-nucleotide ribosomal RNA is filed under the name uncultured bacterium. Its description in RNAcentral is "partial 16S ribosomal RNA". It matches the Rfam family "Bacterial small subunit ribosomal RNA", at positions 28 to 523 of the family's 1533-position model. The record is from RNAcentral.
GAUGAACGCUAGCUACAGGCUUAACACAUGCAAGUCGAGGGGUAACGAGAGGAAAGCUUGCUUUCCUUGUCGACGACCGGCGCACGGGUGAGUAACGCGUAUCCAACCUGCCCCCAACUAGGGAAUAACCUUGCGAAAGUAAGACUAAUACCCUAUAAUUUCCUCAGAUGACAUCUGACGAGGAAUAAAGAUUUAUCGGUUGUGGAUGGGGAUGCGUCUGAUUAGCUUGUUGGCGGGGUAACGGCCCACCAAGGCAACGAUCAGUAGGGGUUCUGAGAGGAAGGUCCCCCACAUUGGAACUGGGACACGGUCCAAACUCCUACGGGAGGCAGCAGUGAGGAAUAUUGGUCAAUGGGCGGAAGCCUGAGCCAGCCAAGUAGCGUGCAGGAUGACGGCCCUAUGGGUUGUAAACUGCUUUUAUACAGGAAUAAAGUUAGCCACGUGUGGUUAUUUGUAGGUACUGUAUGAAUAAGGACCGGCUAAUUCCGUGCCAGCAGCCGCCGUAA